This 280-nucleotide ribosomal RNA is filed under the name Pseudo-nitzschia fraudulenta. RNAcentral's name for it is "partial 28S ribosomal RNA". It matches the Rfam family "Eukaryotic large subunit ribosomal RNA", at positions 187 to 475 of the family's 3401-position model. The record is from RNAcentral. Lineage: Eukaryota; Bacillariophyta; Bacillariophyceae; Bacillariales; Bacillariaceae.
UCCUUGGAAAAGGACAGCUGAGAGGGUGAAACUCCCGUCCGCCUGGUAGAAUGAGUCUUUGUCAACGAGUCGAGUUGUUUGGGAUUGCAGCUCUAAUUUGGUGGUAAAUUCCAUCUAAAGCUAAAUAUUGGUGGGAGACCGAUAGCGUACAAGUACCGUGAGGGAAAGAUGCAAAGAACUUUGAAAAGAGAGUUAAAGAGUACCUGAAAUUGCUGAAACGGAAGCGAAGGAAACCAGUGUUUGUUGGUUCAUAUUUCCUUGGCCACUUGUGGUUUGGGCG